RNAcentral lists this ribosomal RNA (432 nucleotides) under uncultured bacterium. RNAcentral's name for it is "partial 16S ribosomal RNA". It matches the Rfam family "Bacterial small subunit ribosomal RNA", at positions 29 to 507 of the family's 1533-position model. The record is from RNAcentral.
AGCGAACGCUGGCGGCAGGCCUACACAUGCAAGUCGAACGAACUCUUCGGAGUUAGUGGCGGACGGGUGAGUAACACGUGGGAACGUGCCUUUUGGUUCGGAAUAACUCAGGGAAACUUGUGCUAAUACCGAAUGUGCCCUUCGGGGGAAAGAUUUAUCGCCAUUAGAGCGGCCCGCGUCUGAUUAGCUAGUUGGUGAGGUAACGGCUCACCAAGGCGACGAUCAGUAGCUGGUCUGAGAGGAUGACCAGCCACACUGGGACUGAGACACGGCCCAGACUCCUACGGGAGGCAGCAGUGGGGAAUCUUGCGCAAUGGGCGAAAGCCUGACGCAGCCAUGCCGCGUGAAUGAUGAAGGUCUUAGGAUUGUAAAAUUCUUUCACCGGGGACGAUAAUGACGGUACCCGGAGAAGAAGCCCCGGCUAACUUCGUG